CAAGGAUUCCCCUAGUAACUGCGAGUGAAGCGGGAAAAGCUCAAAUUUAAAAUCUGGCGGUCUUUGGCCGUCCGAGUUGUAAUCUAGAGAAGUAAUGCCCGUGCUGGACCGUGUAUAAGUCUCCUGGGAUGGGGCGUCAUAGAGGGUGAGAAUCCCGUCUUUGACACGGACUACCAGUGCAUUGUGGUAUGCUCUCAAAGAGUCGAGUUGUUUGGGAAUGCAGCUCAAAAUGGGUGGUAAAUUCCAUCUAAAGCUAAAUAUUGGCGAGAGACCGAUAGCGAACAAGUACCGUGAGGGAAAGAUGAAAAGAACUUUGGAAAGAGAGUUAAACAGUACGUGAAAUUGCUGAAAGGGAAACGCUUGAAGUCAGUCGCGUUGGCCGGGAAUCAGCCUUGCUUUUGCAUGGUGUACUUUCUGGUUGACGGGUCAGCAUCAAUUUUGACUGCUGGAAAAGGGCCUGGGGAAUGUGGCAGCUUCGGCUGUGUUAUAGCCCCUGGUCACAUACAGUGGUUGGGAUUGAGGAACUCAGCACGCCGCAAGGCCGGGUUUCGACCACGUUCGUGCUUAGGAUGCUGGCAUAAUGGCUUUAAGCGACCCGUCUUGAAACACGGACCAAGGAGUCUAACAUGCCUGCGAGUAUUUGGGUGGAAAACCCGAAUGCGCAAUGAAAGUGAAAGUUGAGAUCCCUGUCGUGGGGAGCAUCGACGCCCGGACCAGAACUUUUGGGACGGAUCCGCGGUGGAGCAUGUAUGUUGGGACCCGAAAGAUGGUGAACUAUGCCUGAAUAGGGUGAAGCCAGAGGAAACUCUGGUGGAGGCUCGUAGCGAUUCUGACGUGCAAAUCGAUCGUCAAAUUUGGGUAUAGGGGCGAAAGACUAAUCGAACCAUCUAGUAGCUGGUUCCUGCCGAAGUUUCCCUCAGGAUAGCAGAAACUCAUAUCAGAUUUAUGUGGUAAAGCGAAUGAUUAGAGGCCUUGGGGUUGAAACAACCUUAACCUAUUCUCAAACUUUAAAUAUGUAAGAACGAGCCGUUUCUUGAUUGAACCGCUCGGCGAUUGAGAGUUUCUAGUGGGCCAUUUU
Molecule: ribosomal RNA, 1078 nt
Filed under: Agaricus silvaticus
Lineage: Eukaryota; Fungi; Basidiomycota; Agaricomycetes; Agaricales; Agaricaceae
Description: eukaryotic LSU rRNA
Rfam family: Eukaryotic large subunit ribosomal RNA
Source: RNAcentral